Molecule: ribosomal RNA, 475 nt
Filed under: uncultured Magnetococcus sp.
Lineage: Bacteria; Pseudomonadati; Pseudomonadota; Magnetococcia; Magnetococcales; Magnetococcaceae
Description: bacterial SSU rRNA
Rfam family: Bacterial small subunit ribosomal RNA
Source: RNAcentral
UUCGGGACGCUGGCGAGUGGCGAACGGGUGCGUAACGCGUGGAAACCUGCCCCGAGGUGUGGGACAACAGUUGGAAACGACUGCUAAUACCGCAUAAGCCUUACGAGGGAAAGGCGCAAGUCGCCUUGGGAGGGGUCCGCGUCGGAUUAGCUAGUUGGUGGGGUAAAGGCCUACCAAGGCGAUGAUCCGUAGUUGGUCUGAGAGGAUGAUCAGCCACACUGGGACUGAGACACGGCCCAGACUCCUACGGGAGGCAGCAGUGGGGAAUAUUGCGCAAUGGGAGAAAUCCUGACGCAGCGAUACCGCGUGGGUGAAGAAGGUCUUCGGAUUGUAAAGCCCUUUCAGCAGGAAAGAUGAUGACGGUACCUGCAGAAGAAGCCCCGGCUAACUCCGUGCCAGCAGCCGCGGUAAUACGGAGGGGGCGAGCGUUGUUCGGAAUGACUGGGCGUAAAGGGCGCGUAGGCUGCUCUGCAAG